CUACGUAGGGGGCGAGCGUUGUCCGGAAUGAUUGGGCGUAAAGGGCGCGUAGGCGGCGCGGUAAGUCUGGAGUGAAAGUCCUGCUUUCAAGGUGGGAAUUGCUUUGGAUACUGCCGCGCUUGAGUGCAGGAGAGGUUAUCGGAAUUCCCGGUGUAGCGGUGAAAUGCGUAGAGAUCGGGAGGAACACCAGUGGCGAAGGCGGGUAACUGGACUGCAACUGACGCUGAGGCGCGAAAGUGUGGGGAGCAAACAGGAUUAGAUACCCUGGUAGUCCACACUGUAAACGAUGAAUGCUAGGUGUAAGAGGUAUCGACCCCUUUUGUGCCGGAGUCAACACAAUAAGCAUUCCGCCUGGGGAGUACGGCCGCAAGGUUGAAACUCAAAGGAAUUGACGGGG
RNAcentral lists this ribosomal RNA (397 nucleotides) under uncultured bacterium. RNAcentral describes it as "partial 16S ribosomal RNA". It matches the Rfam family "Bacterial small subunit ribosomal RNA", at positions 523 to 918 of the family's 1533-position model. The record is from RNAcentral.